Molecule: ribosomal RNA, 432 nt
Filed under: uncultured bacterium
Lineage: Bacteria
Description: partial 16S ribosomal RNA
Rfam family: Bacterial small subunit ribosomal RNA
Source: RNAcentral
AACGAACGCUGGCGGCAGGCUUAACACAUGCAAGUCGAACGGAUCCUUCGGGAUUAGUGGCAGACGGGUGAGUAACGCGUGGGAACGUACCCUUUGCUACGGAAUAACUCAGGGAAACUUGAGCUAAUACCGUAUGUGCCCUACGGGGGAAAGAUUUAUCGGCAAAGGAUCGGCCCGCGUUGGAUUAGCUAGUUGGUGGGUAAUGGCCUACCAAGGCGACGAUCCAUAGCUGGUCUGAGAGGAUGAUCAGCCACACUGGGACUGAGACACGGCCCAGACUCCUACGGGAAGCAGCAGUGGGGAAUAUUGGACAAUGGGCGCAAGCCUGAUCCAGCCAUGCCGCGUGAGUGAUGAAGGUCUUAGGAUUGUAAAGCUCUUUCACCGGUGAAGAUAAUGACGGUAGCCGGAGAAGAAGCCCCGGCUAACUUCGUG